UAUACAUGCAGUCGAGCGAAUCGAUGGGAGCUUGCUCCCUGAGAUUAGCGGCGGACGGGUGAGUAACACGUGGGCAACCUGCCUAUAAGACUGGGAUAACUUCGGGAAACCGGAGCUAAUACCGGAUACGUUCUUUUCUCGCAUGAGAGAAGAUGGAAAGACGGUUUACGCUGUCACUUAUAGAUGGGCCCGCGGCGCAUUAGCUAGUUGGUGAGGUAAUGGCUCACCAAGGCGACGAUGCGUAGCCGACCUGAGAGGGUGAUCGGCCACACUGGGACUGAGACACGGCCCAGACUCCUACGGGAGGCAGCAGUAGGGAAUCUUCCGCAAUGGACGAAAGUCUGACGGAGCAACGCCGCGUGAACGAAGAAGGCCUUCGGGUCGUAAAGUUCUGUUGUUAGGGAAGAACAAGUACCAGAGUAACUGCUGGUACCUUGACGGUACCUAACCAGAAAGCCACGGCUAACUACGUGCCAGCAGCCGCGGUAAUACGUAGGUGCAGCGUGUCGGAUUAUUGGGCGUAAGCGCGCGCAGGUGGUUCCUUAAGUCUGAUGUGAAAGCCCACGGCUCAACCGUGGAGGGUCAUUGGAAACUGGGGAACUUGAGUGCAGAAGAGGAAAGUGGAAUUCCAAGUGUAGCGGUGAAAUGCGUAGAGAUUUGGAGGAACACCAGUGGCGAAGGCGACUUUCUGGUCUGUAACUGACACUGAGGCGCGAAAGCGUGGGGAGCAAACAGGAUUAGAUACCCUGGUAGUCCACGCCGUAAACGAUGAGUGCUAAGUGUUAGAGGGUUUCCGCCCUUUAGUGCUGCAGCUAACGCAUUAAGCACUCCGCCUGGGGAGUACGGCCGCAAGGCUGAAACUCAAAGGAAUUGACGGGGGCCCGCACAAGCGGUGGAGCAUGUGGUUUAAUUCGAAGCAACGCGAAGAACCUUACCAGGUCUUGACAUCCUCUGACAACCCUAGAGAUAGGGCUUUCCCCUUCGGGGGACAGAGUGACAGGUGGUGCAUGGUUGUCGUCAGCUCGUGUCGUGAGAUGUUGGGUUAAGUCCCGCAACGAGCGCAACCCUUGAUCUUAGUUGCCAGCAUUCAGUUGGGCACUCUAAGGUGACUGCCGGUGACAAACCGGAGGAAGGUGGGGAUGACGUCAAAUCAUCAUGCCCCUUAUGACCUGGGCUACACACGUGCUACAAUGGAUGGUACAAAGGGCUGCAAACCUGCGAAGGUAAGCGAAUCCCAUAAAGCCAUUCUCAGUUCGGAUUGUAGGCUGCAACUCGCCUACAUGAAGCCGGAAUCGCUAGUAAUCGCGGAUCAGCAUGUCGC
This 1321-nucleotide ribosomal RNA is filed under the name Bacillus sp. SGE109(2010). RNAcentral's name for it is "bacterial SSU rRNA". It matches the Rfam family "Bacterial small subunit ribosomal RNA", at positions 50 to 1360 of the family's 1533-position model. Lineage: Bacteria; Bacillati; Bacillota; Bacilli; Caryophanales; Bacillaceae. The record is from RNAcentral.